CCUGAUGGCUUUUGAAGGUGGAGAUCGUGUGAAGAUUUGCUCUCAGGGGAGCUGUUGCUCUGAGCUGCAGAGAUGCUGUACCGAAGCUCUGACAUGCUGAGCCCUGUCCAAUUCCUCCAAAGCACGCUGUUCCAUGUACCUUUGAGAUGCCAGCUCCUCCAGGGUGAGGUGGGCUGUGCAGCAGAGCUGUCCCCGCUCACACUGUAAUCCUCAGCCCUCAGCUGUCAGCGUCUCGGAUGAGUUCUUGGAGGGUAUCCAGACAAACACAGGAGAGAUUUCAACUGCUGCGAUCCCCUGUCCUAUUUUAUCUCAUUUCUGACAGCCCAUGUCUGCUGAGGCUGGGAAGUGGUGA
Molecule: long non-coding RNA, 352 nt
Filed under: Gallus gallus (chicken)
Lineage: Eukaryota; Metazoa; Chordata; Aves; Galliformes; Phasianidae
Description: long non-coding RNA NONGGAT002949
Source: RNAcentral